AGUGAACGCUGGCGGUAGGCCUAACACAUGCAAGUCGAACGGCAGCACAGUAAGAGCUUGCUCUUACGGGUGGCGAGUGGCGGACGGGUGAGGAAUACAUCGGAAUCUACUUUUUCGUGGGGGAUAACGUAGGGAAACUUACGCUAAUACCGCAUACGACCUACGGGUGAAAGCAGGGGAUCUUCGGACCUUGCGCGAUUGAAUGCGCCGAUGUCGGAUUAGCUAGUUGGCGGGGUAAAGGCCCACCAAGGCGACGAUCCGUAGCUGGUCUGAGAGGAUGAUCAGCCACACUGGAACUGAGACACGGUCCAGACUCCUACGGGAGGCAGCAGUGGGGAAUAUUGGGCAAUGGGCGCAAGCCUGAUCCAGCCAUACCGCGUGGGUGAAGAAGGCCUUCGGGUUGUAAAGCCCUUUUGUUGGGAAAGAAAAGCAGCAGGUUAAUACCCCGCUGUUCUGACGGUACCCAAAGAAUAAGCACCGGCUAACUUCGUG
RNAcentral lists this ribosomal RNA (492 nucleotides) under uncultured bacterium. Its description in RNAcentral is "partial 16S ribosomal RNA". It matches the Rfam family "Bacterial small subunit ribosomal RNA", at positions 29 to 507 of the family's 1533-position model. The record is from RNAcentral.